AUGCUAGGUGGGCAAUACAUAAAUCUUCUCGAUGAUACGUUCAAGAAGGAUAUCUUGAGGAAACCAUUGGGAGGUUUUGGAUUAGAAAUGGAUCGAAGUGCCUACUCACUUGCUUCAGAAUCAAGCAAACUUCUUGCUUCAAAAAUGAAUCGAAGUGUUGUCUCACUUGCUUCAUUCAAUGGAUUUGCAAAAAAGUUUUCUUGCUCAGGUGUAUUUAUAAAGGGCGAAGCAUGCUCUGCAACAAUUCUGACUUCAGCAAGUUUGUUCAGAGUUCCUGGCAGUUCACACAUGAUCGAUGAUAACUUGAGGGUUGUUACUGCUAACUGCUAUCAAUUUUUUUUCUUUUCAUUUCAGAUACUGGUUAACAUAACGUUAUCAUUGCAGAUUGAAGUUUGCCUUCCAAACCAAUAUCGAGUUGUAGGGAUAUUGAACUGUUAUAAUUUACAGUACAAUGUUGCUCUUGUUGACAUCAUGGGAUUCUGGCGUCCUCGUACAAUAAAAAUCCAUGGGCAUCCAGUUACCUCAUCUAUGGACGUAAUAGCUGUGGGUAGUCUUUUUGCGUGUCGCAAACUAAUAGCUGUUGAGGGGAAGGUGUUGAUUGGCAAACAAAGCAAACUUGAUUGCAAAGAACUUUGUGUCUCCACCUGUAAAAUCACCAAGGCUGGGAUUGGGGGGCCUCUUAUUGACAAUGAUGGGAAUUUUGUUGGAAUGAACUUUUAUGAUGAGGAAGAAACUCCGUUCCUGCCGAGGGAUGUUAUUCACCACCUCUUGUUGAACUUCAAUAAAAAAGGGUAUGUCUUAAAAAAAAAAGAAGCUUUGUAG
RNAcentral lists this ribosomal RNA (822 nucleotides) under Triticum aestivum (bread wheat). RNAcentral's name for it is "partial small subunit ribosomal RNA". The record is from RNAcentral. Lineage: Eukaryota; Viridiplantae; Streptophyta; Magnoliopsida; Poales; Poaceae.